GAUAUCAACAAAUUGAUCUGGUUUUGGAUUUCUCACCGGUCCUGCUUUUAUUGUAUCAUCACUUUUUCUUUAAAACCAUACAAACCUCCCAAGUUUUCAUCAUCACUUUUUCAUCAUCACCCCUACAAACCAUACACUCACCUCAUACUUAAAACAACAACAUCAACAGUGUUCAUCAAUACAACACCCCUGCCAAGUUUCACUUUUUCAUCAAAUAUUCACGAACACCUCGCCGGAUAAGUCACCAGCCGUCGGUACCCUUCUCACCGGUCUUCCGCGAAGUUUCAUUCUGGGGAGAAGAAGGAGAAGGAGAAGAAGGAGAAGGAGUAGAUUAGAGAAAAGGUUGUUUGCUGCACGUUCUAAUUACCAAAGUUACAAUGGAAAAAUAUCAUUCUCAACUAUUACCUUUUUCUUUAAUCAUUAACACUUUUAUAUUUCUCCCACUCUUCUUAAGCCGAUUUCACGUUAUCGCAGAUGAAAUAUAUACAUCUUGUGCACCUUUUAGCUGUGGUAAUUUCAUUAAUAUAAGCUAUCCUUUUUGGAACUAUAACACCCAACCUAGCUAUUGUGGACACCCUAAUUUUAUAGUUGACUGUCAAAAUGGAAACUUGAUUAUAGCAAUGAAGUUCCAAAAGUUUCACAUCCUUCACAUAGAUCAAGCCUCUCAAAUUUUGAGGAUUGCAAGAGAAGAUAUGUGGGAUUUUAAUGGUGGUGGUAAAUCUCAAUGUCACAAACAUUAUACUAAUGUGGAUAUAAAUUUUGAUUUCUUCAAUUACACUUCCAACAAUGAAAUAUAUACUAUAUUGUAUGAGUGUGGUGGUCCUUUUCCGGAUUCAUACUAUUCUCCCUUGAAUCAAUAUUAUUUUAAAAAAAGAACUUGUCUUAUAAAGGGAGAAACUCAUAUUGUAUACAUAGUAUCAAGUGCCAAAUUGGCUGAUUUUGUUGGUAUGAAGUGUAAUAAUAGUACCACAUUUCCUGGAAAAAGGAGUUAUUUGAAAAACAACUCAAUAGUUCCAACGAAUGUAAUAGAGAGAGGAUUUGAAGUGAGAUGGAAUAUUGUGGGAGAUGACACGUGCAAUAAUUGCAUAAAACAUGGAGGGAGAUGUAUAUACAAAAGAGUAGAAAACGCAGUAUUGUGUCUCUCAAAGGAAUCUAUAAUAUC
Vicia villosa (hairy vetch) is the source of this 1162-nucleotide long non-coding RNA. RefSeq lists it as uncharacterized. The transcript has 3 exons. The record is from RefSeq and is a predicted model, not a curated record. Lineage: Eukaryota; Viridiplantae; Streptophyta; Magnoliopsida; Fabales; Fabaceae.